Molecule: ribosomal RNA, 254 nt
Filed under: uncultured bacterium
Lineage: Bacteria
Description: partial 16S ribosomal RNA
Rfam family: Bacterial small subunit ribosomal RNA
Source: RNAcentral
CACGUAGGGUGCGAGCGUUGUCCGGAAUUAUUGGGCGUAAAGAGCUCGUAGGCGGUGUGUCGCGUCGGCCGUGAAAACCUGCAGCUUAACUGUGGGCUUGCGGUCGAUACGGGCAUCACUGGAGUUCGGCAGGGGAGACUGGAAUUCCCGGUGUAGCGGUGAAAUGCGCAGAUAUCAGGAGGAACACCGGUGGCGAAGGCGGGUCUCUGGGCCGAUACUGACGCUGAGGAGCGAAAGCGUGGGGAGCGAACAGG